Long non-coding RNA from Quercus lobata, 338 nucleotides. RefSeq lists it as uncharacterized. The record is from RefSeq and is a predicted model, not a curated record. NCBI's taxonomy places the organism in Eukaryota, Viridiplantae, Streptophyta, Magnoliopsida, Fagales, Fagaceae. The transcript is spliced from 2 exons.
GCUAGAGCUGACAGAAAAGAUCUGAUGAGGAAGUUGCCAAAAUUUAUAUAUGAUGAGGAGAAAACUUUGGAGCCAUAGACGAUGUUUCUGCUCAGCUACAUGGAGAUGAUGCCCCUAAUGGAGUUGCAGUGAGUUCAAAUGAAGUUGGAGCUUCAAUGUAACAGAAUAUUUGUUGUAAUUGCCAUAUAAAUCAUCACUACUUACGUGUGAUUAGUACUGGAAAAACAAUGUUUUGAAUCCUUUAUCCCUUUUAAUUUUCUAUUCGGUUAAUAAAUUCAGGUUGAUUGUACUUAUAUAAAAAAUUUACUAGAAAUGAUAGCAAAAUAUGAUUUGUUUCA